RNAcentral lists this ribosomal RNA (406 nucleotides) under uncultured bacterium. RNAcentral's name for it is "partial 16S ribosomal RNA". It matches the Rfam family "Bacterial small subunit ribosomal RNA", at positions 28 to 526 of the family's 1533-position model. The record is from RNAcentral.
GUUGAACGCUAGCUACAGGCUUAACACAUGCAAGUCGAGGGACCGGCGCACGGGUGAGUAACACGUAUCUAACCUGCCCUUUACUCGGGGCUAGCCUUUCGAAAGAAAGAUUAAUACCCGAUAUAAAGGAUGGGGAUGCGUUCCAUUAGGUUGUUGGUGAGGUAACGGCGAACCAAGACUUCGAUGGUUAGGGGUUCUUAGAGGAAGGGCCCCCACAUUGGAACUGAGACCCGGUCCAAACUCCUACGGGAGGCAGCAGUGAGGAAUAUUGUUUAAUGGGUGCUAGCCUGACCCCGCCAAUUGGCGUGAAGGAUGAAGGCUUAUGGGUCGUAAAUUUCUUUUAUAUAAGAAUCUGUAUUAUAUGAAUAAGGAUCGGCUAACUCCGUGCCAGCAGCCGCGGUAAUUC